RNAcentral lists this ribosomal RNA (499 nucleotides) under uncultured bacterium. RNAcentral's name for it is "partial 16S ribosomal RNA". It matches the Rfam family "Bacterial small subunit ribosomal RNA", at positions 28 to 507 of the family's 1533-position model. The record is from RNAcentral.
GACGAACGCUGGCGGCGUGCCUAAUACAUGCAAGUCGAACGGAAUUUUUCUGGUACUUUGACUUGAAGGACUGAGCGGCGCGCGGGUGAGUAGCACGUAACGAACCCUCCUCUUUGGUGGGGACUAAUGUAGGAAACGAUACGCAAUUACGGAUUACGGCAUUCACUUGAUGGUUGGGGAUUAUAAGUUCUUUUUGGUAUCACUGUGCGGUUGCUUUGCGGUGGAUUAGCUGGUUGGCGGGGUAAAGGCCUACCAAGGCGACGAUGCAUAGCCGACCUGAGAGGGUGAUCGGCCACACGGGGACUGAGACACGGCCCAGACUCCUACGGGAGGCAGCAGUAGGGAAUCUUCGGCAAUGGGCGCAAGCCUGACGGAGCAACGCCGCGUGAGUGAAGAAGGCUUUCGGUUCGUAAGGCUCUGUUGUUAGGGAAGAAUGGCUGUGUAGUAACACUACGCAGUAGUGACGGUACCUAAACAGAAAGCAACGGCUAACUACGUG